UACGAAGGGGGCUAGCGUUGCUCGGAAUUACUGGGCGUAAAGGGCGCGUAGGCGGCCCUGUUAGUCAGGCGUGAAAUUCCUGGGCUCAACCUGGGGACUGCGCUUGAUACGGCAGAGCUUGAGGAUGGAAGAGGGUCGCGGAAUUCCCAGUGUAGAGGUGAAAUUCGUAGAUAUUGGGAAGAACACCGGUGGCGAAGGCGGCGACCUGGUCCAUUACUGACGCUGAGGCGCGAAAGCAUGGGGAGCGAACAGG
This 253-nucleotide ribosomal RNA is filed under the name uncultured bacterium. RNAcentral describes it as "partial 16S ribosomal RNA". It matches the Rfam family "Bacterial small subunit ribosomal RNA", at positions 524 to 776 of the family's 1533-position model. The record is from RNAcentral.